This 867-nucleotide ribosomal RNA is filed under the name uncultured bacterium. Its description in RNAcentral is "bacterial SSU rRNA". It matches the Rfam family "Bacterial small subunit ribosomal RNA", at positions 524 to 1381 of the family's 1533-position model. The record is from RNAcentral.
UACGAAGGUGGCAAGCGUUACUCGGAAUGACUAGGCGUAAAGGGCAGGUAGGUGGUAUGGUAAGUCUGUUGUGAAAGCUCCUGGCUUAACCGGGAGAGGCCAACAGAUACUGCCGAACUAGAGUGUGGGAGAGGGUACUGGAAUUCCCGGUGUAGCGGUGAAAUGCGCAGAUAUCGGGAGGAACACCAAUGGCGAAAGCAAGUACCUGGACCACUACUGACACUCAGCUGCGAAAGCUAGGGGAGCAAACAGGAUUAGAUACCCUGGUAGUCCUAGCUGUAAACGAUGCACAUUAGACGUGGGGGGUAUCGACCCCCUCCUUGUCGACGCAAACGCAUUAAAUGUGCCGCCUGGGGAGUACGGCCGCAAGGUUGAAACUCAAAGGAAUUGACGGGGGCCCGCACAAGCGGUGGAGCAUGUGGUUUAAUUCGACGCAACGCGAAGAACCUUACCUGGGCUUGAACUGCUGGUAGUAGUUCCCAUGAAAAUGGGAACGAACCGUCAAGUCGGAUGCCAGCAGAGGUGCUGCAUGGCUGUCGUCAGCUCGUGUCGUGAGAUGUUGGGUUAAGUCCCGCAACGAGCGCAACCCUUAUCCCAUGUUGCUACGUUCUUUUAGGACAGCACUCUUGGGAAACUGCCUCGGAUAACGGGGAGGAAGGUGGGGAUGACGUCAAGUCCUCAUGGCCUUUAUGUCCAGGGCUACACACGUGCUACAAUGGUCGGUACAACGAGCAGCAAAUCCGCAAGGAUGAGCAAAUCUCUAAAAACCGGCCCCAGUUCAGAUAGUGGGCUGAAAUUCGCCCACUUGAAGGCGGAAUCGCUAGUAAUCGGGGAUCAGCUGGCCCCGGUGAAUACGUUCCCGGGCCU